Molecule: ribosomal RNA, 517 nt
Filed under: uncultured Glomus
Lineage: Eukaryota; Fungi; Glomeromycota; Glomeromycetes; Glomerales; Glomeraceae
Description: SSU rRNA
Rfam family: Eukaryotic small subunit ribosomal RNA
Source: RNAcentral
AGCAGCCGCGGUAAUUCCAGCUCCAAUAGCGUAUAUUAAAGUUGUUGCAGUUAAAAAGCUCGUAGUUGAAUUUCGGGGUUAGUAGAUUGGUCAUGCCUCUGGUAUGCACUGGUCUUACUGAUUCCUCCUUCCUGAUGAACCGUAAUGCCAUUAAUUUGGUGUUGCGGGGAAACUGGACUGUUACUUUGAAAAAUUAGAGUGUUUAAAGCAGGCUAACGCUUGAAUACAUUAGCAUGGAAUAAUGAAAUAGGACGUUCGAUCUUAUUUUGUUGGUUUCUAGGAUUGACGUAAUGAUUAAUAGGGAUAGUUGGGGGCAUUAGUAUUCAAUUGUCAGAGGUGAAAUUCUUGGAUUUAUUGAAGACUAACUACUGCGAAAGCAUUUGCCAAGGAUGUUUUCAUUAAUACAAGAACGAAAGUUAGGGGAUCGAAGACGAUCAGAUACCGUCGUAGUCUUAACCAUAAACUAUAGCCGACUAGGGAUCGGAUGAUGUUAAUUUUUAAUGACUCAUUCGGCGCC